CUGGACAUCCUCCAUGUUUUUGGAAGGUGCACAUGCCUACACAUAAACCCAUCAAUGUCUUCAGCGCUGCCAAUUAGAUGUGCCGGACUAGGCCUCACAACCAUACUACAUAAUUUUGGUGACAUGAUAGCUCAGUUCCCAACUACAUACCUAGGCCUUCCAAUCACACUCUCGAGGUUGAGGCUGGCGAAUUCGCAAUUCAUCCUAGAUAGGAUCAAAGCGAGGCUAGCAGGUUGGAAAGGGAAGAUGAUGCCCAUAGCUAGUAGGAGAGUUCUUGUCAGAUGUGUUCUCAGCGCCAUGCCAACCUCUGCACUGUCUAUUCUUCGGGUGCCAAAGAAGCUGCUGAAGGAGAUUGAUAAGUGUUGA
Molecule: ribosomal RNA, 366 nt
Filed under: Triticum aestivum (bread wheat)
Lineage: Eukaryota; Viridiplantae; Streptophyta; Magnoliopsida; Poales; Poaceae
Description: partial small subunit ribosomal RNA
Source: RNAcentral